RNAcentral lists this ribosomal RNA (421 nucleotides) under uncultured bacterium. RNAcentral's name for it is "bacterial SSU rRNA". It matches the Rfam family "Bacterial small subunit ribosomal RNA", at positions 355 to 775 of the family's 1533-position model. The record is from RNAcentral.
UGAGGAAUAUUCCACAAUGGGCGAAAGCCUGAUGGAGCGACGCCGCGUGCGGGAUGAAGCCCUUUGGGGUGUAAACCGCUUUUUCGAGGGAUGAUACGGGGGCGUAAGCCCUCUAAGACAGUACCUUGAGAAUAAGCAUCGGCUAACUACGUGCCAGCAGCCGCGGUAAUACGUAGGAUGCAAGCGUUGUCCGGAUUUACUGGGCGUAAAGCGCGCGCAGGCGGUCUUGUAAGUAUGGCGUGAAAUCUCCCUGCUCAACGGGGAGGGUGCGUUGUAGACUGCAGGACUUGAGGUCGGUAGAGGGGGGUGGAAUUGCUGGUGUAGCGGUGAAAUGCGUAGAGAUCAGCAGGAACACCCGUGGCGAAGGCGGCCCCCUGGGCCGUACCUGACGCUGAGGCGCGAAGGCUAGGGGAGCGACCCG